RNAcentral lists this long non-coding RNA (1239 nucleotides) under Homo sapiens (human). RNAcentral describes it as "HSALNT0353514". Lineage: Eukaryota; Metazoa; Chordata; Mammalia; Primates; Hominidae. The record is from RNAcentral.
UAAAAUUUUAAAAAACCCUGCUCUUUAAAAAUUUCAAUAUAGCUCUUACAUAUUUCAUGUGCUUAAAACUGUUUGUAUUCCCUUGUCUGAAAACUUUUAUUAAUAUAUUUUAAUCCUUUUGAACUAUUGGUCUUUUUGUUAUUGAUUUAUAGGAGUUCUUCAUAAAUUAGGAAAAUUAGCUCCUUGUCUACGAUAUGAGUUGUAAAUAUUUUCCCACAUUUCCAUUUGUCUUUAGACUUGGAAAUGCGUUGCCCACAUUAUUUUAUUUUUAUGUGUGUCAAUCUUUUCCAGGUUUUUGUGUCUUUCUUAGAAAGGCCUUCCUCACUCCAAGGUUGUCAUUACAACUGUUUAGAAACAUGCAUUUGUACUGAGAAGAGAGCAGCUGUUUUGCCAGGAUGAUGGAAUGUGGGAAGAUCCCUUCUGUUACGUAUUUCCUCUAGUAUUGCUAUCACAUAUGGGGAUACUAUUUUAAAAUAAAUGCCAUGGCCAAAGCAUGGUGUUGGUGCUUCUGAAAUGUUCUAGAACCAUGUUACUAGCUAUGACACGGACCCCUCCAUGCCUUGAUGAUGACUAGGCCUAAAGACCCUUCACCUACACAGGCCACUCAUGGUAUUGAGAGGUGCCUUAGCAACAGAUAAUCAUUAUUAUACCUUUUCUUAAAUUUGACAAAGUAAGGGAUUUGAACUGCAGUGGGUUCAGUCUGCCAGCAGUUCACAUUCUAACCCCUCCUAGAGGUGGGGGUGGGGGGGAAUGUAAAUUGUGUUGUAAUUCUGUGUUCUUUCUCAUAGCAGGCACUCCAGCAUCAGUCCCAUAAAACCUGGACUUACUACAGUAUCUACCUAGGAAGCACCAAAUAGCAUCUUGCACUGAUACCACGCUCUUAGAAGAGUCCAGCUGCUGGACGCAACCUGCAGAGGGACCGUAGAGAAGAUAAGGCUGGAGUGGGAAAGGAAGAAGAGGGAGUGAGGGUUUGGAACGGGAUGGUGCUGGAGGCAAUUAGGUAAUAACUUACCUGAGGACAACUUGAACCCAGAGCACUGUCUUUCAGAAGUCUACCAGCAUUACAGAAAACGCCUCUCUAAUUUUGGCCGUGGCUCCAACAGUAACUCAGAAAGAAGGCAAGACACUGGACAAGUAGCUGCAGCGCUCUUAGAGGUCACUGUGGAGGUGAGGAAGGCACAGCAGAGUGGAAAGGGCCCAAGCUUUGCCAACAGUAGAACCUGGACUUCAGCCUUCUCU